Molecule: ribosomal RNA, 508 nt
Filed under: uncultured bacterium
Lineage: Bacteria
Description: bacterial SSU rRNA
Rfam family: Bacterial small subunit ribosomal RNA
Source: RNAcentral
UAGUCCACGCCGUAAACGAUGGAUACUAGCUGUUCGGAACUUGUUCUGAGUGGCUAAGCGAAAGUGAUAAGUAUCCCACCUGGGGAGUACGUUCGCAAGAAUGAAACUCAAAGGAAUUGACGGGGGCCCGCACAAGCGGUGGAGCAUGUGGUUUAAUUCGAUGAUACGCGAGGAACCUUACCAGGGCUUAAACGUAGUCUGACAGGGCCAGAAAUGGCUUUUUCUUCGGACAGAUUACAAGGUGCUGCAUGGUUGUCGUCAGCUCGUGCCGUGAGGUGUCAGGUUAAGUCCUAUAACGAGCGCAACCCCUGUUGUUAGUUGCCAUCGAGUAAUGUCGGGAACUCUAACAAGACUGCCGGCGUAAGCCGUGAGGAAGGUGGGGACGACGUCAAAUCAUCAUGGCCUUUAUGCCUAGGGCUACACACGUGCUACAAUGGUGCAUACAGCGGGUAGCGAAAUCGCGAGGUGGAGCUAAUCUUGUAAAGUGCAUCCCAGUUCGGAUCGGAGU